This 109-nucleotide ribosomal RNA is filed under the name Pteropus alecto (black flying fox). The record is from RNAcentral. Lineage: Eukaryota; Metazoa; Chordata; Mammalia; Chiroptera; Pteropodidae.
GUCUACGACCAUGUCACCCUGAACAAGCCCAAUCUCAGAAGCUAAGCAGGGUCGGACCUGUUUAGAACUUGGAUGAGAGACCACCUAGGAAGACCAGGUGCUGUAGGUG